AGGGGACCUGGAAACUCUUACAGCUUCACUACAACAUCCAAAUUGAGCCUAGACUAUGCAUUUGGAAAUUUGGAGAGGCUAGGAUAGAAGUUAAAGCUGAAAAAGGUCUUAGAAAUAACCUGGUCCAAUCUCCCCCUUUUUGGUAGAUAAGGAUACUGAGACCUGGGGAAGGAAAGUGAUAUUUGCACAUGGGAAGCAAGAGCAAAACCAAGAUUUAGACCCAAGUCUUCUGGCUGCAAAUCUAAUGCUCAAGUUCUUUUUGCCAGCCAUAUUCACCAGGACUUCCGGUCAAGAUGGUGGCUUAGAAGCUGCAAAAGUUCAGACCUCAGAAACCCUUCUUUACCAAUCGAAAACUGAGUGCUCCUAG
Molecule: long non-coding RNA, 367 nt
Filed under: Monodelphis domestica (gray short-tailed opossum)
Lineage: Eukaryota; Metazoa; Chordata; Mammalia; Didelphimorphia; Didelphidae
Description: lncRNA (ENSMODG00000042014.1)
Source: RNAcentral